AUUGAACGCUGGCGGCAUGCCUUACACAUGCAAGUCGAACGGCAGCACGGGAGCAAUCCUGGUGGCGAGUGGCGAACGGGUGAGUAAUAUAUCGGAACGUGCCCAGUCGUGGGGGAUAACGUAGCGAAAGCUACGCUAAUACCGCAUACGAUCUAAGGAUGAAAGCGGGGGAUUCGCAAGAACCUCGCGCGAUUGGAGCGGCUGAUAUCAGAUUAGGUUGUUGGUGNGGUAAAGCUUACCAAGCCGACGAUCUGUAGCUGGUUUGAGAGAACGACCAGCCACACUGGGACUGAGACACGGCCCAGACUCCUACGGAGGCAGCAUGGGGAAUUUUGGACAAUGGGCGCAAGCCUGAUCCAGCAAUGCCGCGUGCAGGAUGAAGGCCUCGGGUU
Molecule: ribosomal RNA, 392 nt
Filed under: uncultured bacterium
Lineage: Bacteria
Description: bacterial SSU rRNA
Rfam family: Bacterial small subunit ribosomal RNA
Source: RNAcentral